GACGAACGCUGGCGGCGCGCCUAACACAUGCAAGUCGAACGAGAGAGAAGGAGCUUGCUUCUUCGAUCGAGUGGCGAACGGGUGAGUAACGCGUGAGGAACCUGCCUCAAAGAGGGAGACAACAGUUGGAAACGACUGCUAAUACCGCAUAAGCCCACGGGUCGGCAUCGACCAGAGGGAAAAGGAGCAAUCCGCUUUGAGAUGGCCUCGCGUCCGAUUAGCUAGUUGGUGAGGUAAUGGCCCACCAAGGCGACGAUCGGUAGCCGGACUGAGAGGUUGAACGGCCACAUUGGGACUGAGACACGGCCCAGACUCCUACGGGAGGCAGCAGUGGGGAAUAUUGCACAAUGGGGGAAACCCUGAUGCAGCGACGCCGCGUGGAGGAAGAAGGUCUUCGGAUUGUAAA
This 406-nucleotide ribosomal RNA is filed under the name uncultured bacterium. Its description in RNAcentral is "bacterial SSU rRNA". It matches the Rfam family "Bacterial small subunit ribosomal RNA", at positions 28 to 429 of the family's 1533-position model. The record is from RNAcentral.